UAUAUACAGAAAAGAAUCAGUGGAGAAUUGAACUUCAAAAGAACAAACAAGGUAGAUCUGAGUUUUUCUGGCGUCUGUCAGCUGGAGGAGGACUGUGGUCACAGGUGGUGUCACGCUGGUAUUCUCUGAAGUUGUUUGGCACAGAGUGUAGGGCACCAUUUCUUCUUUAAUGCAUUUGUCAAAAUUGCAUCCAAUUCUUUCACCAAUGCAGUCAAUAAUCUGACUUUUUCUUUCCCCCUCUUAUUUAUAUCUAUUUUAAGUACUUUUCUGAAUAAAUAGGUUGACGGAAAAAUUCACAGCAGGAGAUGGCUAUUUAAACAUAGAACAGAGAGAGGCAGGGAUGCAGGAGUCAUCUGUGCUUGGAAGUUUAUCACUGUUCUGAUGUUGAAGGACACUAUGCCAAGUGACCACACAGAGGGCAUGGUGUACUGCCUUGUCUAUGUCAUAUUUAACUUUGCCUGGGUCUUCACUACUUUGAAUGACUUUUCCCACAUUUCAUAAAAUGAUUCCUUCCAUGAAAAGUUUUAAGUUGAUGGAGAAGUUUAGGGGCUCCCAUUAUACCUGUUGCACACAUAUAUUUUAUCCUUUAUACAUUUUAGACUAAUGUUUGACCUGUGUGUUAUCUGCUCCUUUUAGAUGGUGAGUUUCUUGAAAGCUGGAACUCAACUUUCUCAGCUACUAUGGUUUGAGUGUUUUUGUGUCCUCCAAAAUUUAUGUUGAAAGUUAAUACACAGUGCAAUAGUAUUAAGAGGCAGGGCCUUUGGAGGUG
Sapajus apella (tufted capuchin) is the source of this 769-nucleotide long non-coding RNA. RefSeq lists it as uncharacterized. NCBI's taxonomy places the organism in Eukaryota, Metazoa, Chordata, Mammalia, Primates, Cebidae. The record is from RefSeq and is a predicted model, not a curated record. The transcript is spliced from 3 exons.